UUGAACCUGCCUCACCUCCUGGCUUUGUUCCAUAAAAACCUCUGGGAAACAGGGUCCCUGGGAGACCCGAAGUAAAGCAGAGACAAUGAGGUUUGCUCCUGCCUGACAGGAAUGCAUGCUGUGCUCUGCCUGAAGCUCUUUUCAAAGGCUUUCACCUGGGCCUUGCUCCCGCAGAUGUAACUCCAGUGUCGCCUCCAGGGAGGGGCUUGUGUGACCGCUCACCUCCCUGCUCAGCUCUCGCGGAGGUUCCUAGUUCAUCCACCCGUCAUGUGUUCAUGUCAGUCUCCUAUCUCUCAGAGAGCUCCUAAGAUCGGCUAACCCAUGGCUGACGCAUUCCCCUGCACCUGGCAGCCCAAGUUGAGCAUCGGUCCCUCUGAAGACUGGGCUGACAUCCGGUCUAGGCCACCCUAUGGAAAACCUGCUGGAGUUCUCAAGAGAAGCCAACGCUUUGGGAGCUGUUCUGCGCAUGUACGGCGGGAUCUUGUCAAGCCCCUUUUCCCAGCCAGUUUUAGCCUCGCCCUACCUUCCUGUCUCAGUCUAUGUAGCCCAGGCUGACCUCGAACUGGCAGUGAUACUCCUGCCUCACCCUCCCAUGUACUGGGAUUACAGGCAUGCGCCGCCAUGCCAGGUGCUUAACAUGAUUUCUAAGAGCCCAACGCACCAACAUUCUACACAGCCAGAGUGAAACUUCUAGGAAAGCCAAUUCAAUUUCAGGUCAUUGGUUUUUACCCACCCUCACCUCCACCCUACCUGCCUUGCAUCCAUCUGGUCACGAACCUCAGAACCCCAAGGCUCUUCCUUAUAUCAGGUUGCACCCAAGUUGCUUGUAUUAAACCUUCAUAGAGGGCCAGGGAUUUAGCUCAGUGGUUCCGCCGCCAGCCUCACAAGCGCAAGGUCCCAAGUUCCAUCCCCAGUACCAAAAAAAAACAACAACCCAAAAACCUUCAUCAAUUUAGUCUUUGGGGUGUGGGGCUAUGAUCUUGUUCCACAUGACUACAUCUCCCUUAGGCUGGUGGCUUCUCAAAGGUUACUGGGGUAAUUCACUUGAAAUCUCCAACACGGACAGUUGUAUAGCAGUUUGCAUAAAGUAGUUCUGGUCUAACCCCAGAGAGACUCCAGAAUGCCAUUUAUUACAUAAACAUUUAUUAUGAGUCAGUAAUGUGCUAGAGGGCUGGGGAUUUAGCUCAGUGGUUCUGCCGCCUGCCUCG
Heterocephalus glaber (naked mole-rat) is the source of this 1208-nucleotide non-coding RNA. NCBI's taxonomy places the organism in Eukaryota, Metazoa, Chordata, Mammalia, Rodentia, Bathyergidae. The record is from RefSeq and is a predicted model, not a curated record.